GUACUCACUUCAGCAGCACAUAAACUAAACUGGAACGAUACAGAGAAAAUUAGUGUGACCCCUGCACAAGGAUGACUGGCAAACUUUGUGAAGCAUUCCACAUUUUU
Molecule: small nuclear RNA, 107 nt
Organism: Camelus dromedarius (Arabian camel)
Lineage: Eukaryota; Metazoa; Chordata; Mammalia; Artiodactyla; Camelidae
Source: Ensembl